UUCAUCUUGGUUAUUCAAACACUUCCUUUGAGUAUUCUUACUCCAAAAAACAAACAUUGGACAAGACAAACAAGAUAGACAGUACAGAUAAAAAUAAAACAAACUCUGAACAUAAGGAACAUGAUGUUCGUUCCUAAAACUGUCAACAAUGGACAUGGAACAACAUUGAUAGGAUGGACAAAACAGUAGUGUGAUAGACAAGACGUCUUGUCUGUUCUGUCCUAUGGUACAACUAUCAAAUGACCUCUUAUUUUCUACUAAUGUAGUUCCAUUUUGUUGAGGUCACAUGGCAACUAUACUGUGACCAGUGAGUGACAUCUAAAGUUUGGAGCCAAUUUCUUGGGCAGGCACCUUGCACAGGAUUGUAUUCAAAGUAUUGGCAAAGAAGUCGCACAGAACUCUUGCAGUUCAAAGUAGGUUCCCACUUUUUACAUUUAACCGGAUUUCUGCAAAGCUCACUACAAGGAAAUGUGCUUUUAGGGACUGGCAAAACGGUUGCUGGAAGCAUUAAAACCCCAUUGGUACAAGCUUUUAGCGACAGUUACAACUGUUGUUAAAAAUAGUUAGAACCGUGGAUAUGAGUGUCGUGCCUAAAUUGGGGAGUCAAUCAUAUAGAUUCUAUAAAACUCAUGUAGAAUUGGUGGGUCAAUCACUGAGAUUGUUCAGUAGAGACUGAGAUGAUGAAGGUUGAGGACGAGGAGAGAAAAGAAGGUGAGGGUUUCUAGUGCGGUGAGGCAGAUGGGAGCAGGGGCCCAUGGCCUCAAGAGGGGGAGAAGGAGGCCAUAGUUAGCAAACUCUACGUACCUUGCGAGCAGCCUUCGAUCGUGGGCAGAUGUGGUGGAAAACAGCGAGAAGGUGAGUCUUGUGGGAGUGCCUGAAGCUGGGUUUCAUUCUCUGAUGAAAUCCCAGCAAUUUUCAAUUAGUCGAAGGCGUAUGAGCAGAUGAAGAAGCCGUUCACAUUUUGCGGCAAUGGCAGGCCAUUUUGUGGUCUCAAGCACGAUCCUAUUGCUUCGUUACCAGGUUGGGUGUUUUUGUGUUGCAAAAUUCAUCUGUAUCGAGUGAUUCUAUUCAGAUUCUGCUCCUGGCUACUGGUGAUCAUGUUCCGUAAUGGGAUCGGUUCGAUCCUAAGUGAAUAACUGGCUUUUUGCAUUGUUUUUCGGAUCUAAUGUGUCCCUCAUUACAUUUUAGGUUGGGUUGCUGCAAACAUCUGUGCAUUUGCGUGAGUAUUAGUAUUCAAAUGCAUAGAACUAAGCUUUCUUGGGUGAUUCUGGGAGCGACUGAUGCAAGAUUUUUGGGUAUUGUCAUGAAUGUUUGUAAGCCUAGAAUAAAUCCAUAACGUGAAUGUGCAUCUUAUUUGCUGUUUGAGUUGAAUUACAUUGUUUUUUUUGUGAAUUUUAUUUAUGCCAUUUAAUCCUCAAAAAGUUGUAUAGAACACACACCCCCCCGAUCAGUUCCCCUCGAAGUGCUCACCUGCACAGCACAGCACAAGGCCACUGAGAGCUUUGUAAGUUGUAACACAGGUAAACUCUCUCUCUCUCUCUCUCUCUCUCUCUCUCUCUCUCUCUCGAUUUGUCCAUCAGCCUCUCUCUCAAUCUACUGACCAUUUUUGUUUGCCGCUCUCUCUCUUCCUCUCUCUAGGUGUGUGUGUCUCCCUAGUUCAUUUCCAUUUUUCUUUCUCUUGAUCUAUCGAACUUCUCUAUAUAUGUAAAUCUUCUAUUUCUCUAUCUCUCCUUUUCAUCUUCCUCCUUGGUUCUCACUUCUCAGCAUGCCGGAGACAAAUCCCUAAUUUAGUCUACAUCAACAACUACGACAUUGUAUAAAUUAGGGUUUUGAUCUUCGAUGUUGUAGGGUGUCUAAGGUCGAUUCCUAAAUGAUGUAAUUCAACUAAUUCCAAUGUUUUUUGGCUCCUUUGACUCUCCUGUUGCGAACUUUUUGGUUUUCUAAAAUUCUUGCCCUACUUUUUCGUUAUGUGUUUCUGUUUAUAUUUUUUUUUGUGGUGUUGGCCCUUGAUUUGUUGUCUGAAGUGUGAUCAUUCAUGCUUGCCUUUAGGGGCAAGAUUAUGUGUUUUUCUUCUUGUUUUUUGCUACUUGUGGUUCACAAGUACGUGAUCACUUAUAGUCUUUUUAUGUGCACAUAAAGUGUCUUGGAAUGGAUGUUUGAUUCAUUUGAUGUGGAAUUGGCUGGUGUAGUCUGGAACAAGGAUCUUGCUUUUUUCUUUUACAUGAAGUAUUGGAGGAUGCUGUGCACAAUGGGGAGUUGAAUGAAGUGGAAAAAUACCUUUUGGGUUCUCAUAAGUGGACGAAAAUAGGUACUUCAUGAAGAUUUCUUUGAGAAAUGGAAGCAUAAGUACCCUGAGGCUAUGGAUAGGUAAGACUAACUCUCCUUAUACCCUCCUCUUUCCGGUGUUGGGGAUGCCUAUUAAGCGAGUAACUCUUUUAUUUUUUUUUUCCUAGUAUUUUUAGUCAAUAAGCUCAUAAGUUUACUUACCUGAAACGAAAGUUAAAACUUGUUUCAGAAAGAAAAAUAAAAAAUUAAGCAGAGAUUUUGUUUGAUUAGAUUAUCAACGGCCGUAGUGGCUUGUCCUGAAUGAAAUAUGAUAGAUGAUGGUGAAGUGGAUCAAACGAGAAGCCUUAGAAAAUAGAGAACUGUAAAUAAACAGGUAAUUCCUUUUACUCUUGUCAUGCUUUUGAUAUCUACGGAAUAAAAGGCUCCUAAAAGAAUAAACAUUUUAGUAAUUUGUAAAACUUCCAGAUUAGUUUCUUAUGCCUGUUAUGUCGAGUAAACAAUAUCAAGGAAUCUCUUAUUUCCUGGGUCUUUCACUUGUGAUCUAUGUUGAAAGAGCGUGACUUGCACACCUGGAAGAUGAGCUGCUAAUAGUGUUGCUUGUUUAUUUUUCUUCUUCUAAACGGAGGUGGUGUUUAUUCUCUUCUCUUCUUUCAUUUCUUCUUUUCCUGCUGAGACACAUUUUUUUUUUCUUUUGCCAUUUGAGAUAUUUCUUUAUUUUUUCCAUUUUGUUUGUAUGCAGAUUUUCUUUUACUAAUUCUUUCUAUAAUAUAUAUAUAUAUAUAUAUAUAUAUAUAUAUAUAUAUAUCGUGAGAGAGAGAGAGAGAGAAAGAGAGAGAGAGUCUCUAUAUAUACAUAUGUCUGAAUGGUUGUUUAUACUUUAUAGUUAUUUGUUAUUUGACAUUAUAGUUUACUUGUGUGCUUGCUUGUGCAUGCAUGUGCAUUUUAUUUCCUAAUCUACUCCUCUUUUGUAGCCUUUUAUUCAGGAGAAGUUUUGCAGGUGAAUACCUGGCAAAGGACACUAAAUGUAACUGAUGUUAUGACUAUUUCAGUUGGAAAUCAGAUAGAUGGACUGGCAUCCUGACAGCAAAUAUUCCUGCAGCUGCAGCAGCUUCUUCGGGGGGAGUUGAAUGAAGUGGAAAAAUACCUUUUGGGUUCUCAUAAGUGGACGAAAAUAGGUACUUCAUGAAGAUUUCUUUGAGAAAUGGAAGCAUAAGUACCCUGAGGCUAUGGAUAGGUAAGACUAACUCUCCUUAUACCCUCCUCUUUCCGGUGUUGGGGAUGCCUAUUAAGCGAGUAACUCUUUUAUUUUUUUUUUUCCUAGUAUUUUUAGUCAAUAAGCUCAUAAGUUUACUUACCUGAAACGAAAGUUAAAACUUGUUUCAGAAAGAAAAAUAAAAAAUUAAGCAGAGAUUUUGUUUGAUUAGAUUAUCAACGGCCGUAGUGGCUUGUCCUGAAUGAAAUAUGAUAGAUGAUGGUGAAGUGGAUCAAACGAGAAGCCUUAGAAAAUAGAGAACUGUAAAUAAACAGGUAAUUCCUUUUACUCUUGUCAUGCUUUUGAUAUCUACGGAAUAAAAGGCUCCUAAAAGAAUAAACAUUUUAGUAAUUUGUAAAACUUCCAGAUUAGUUUCUUAUGCCUGUUAUGUCGAGUAAACAAUAUCAAGGAAUCUCUUAUUUCCUGGGUCUUUCACUUGUGAUCUAUGUUGAAAGAGCGUGACUUGCACACCUGGAAGAUGAGCUGCUAAUAGUGUUGCUUGUUUAUUUUUCUUCUUCUAAACGGAGGUGGUGUUUAUUCUCUUCUCUUCUUUCAUUUCUUCUUUUCCUGCUGAGACACAUUUUUUUUUUCUUUUGCCAUUUGAGAUAUUUCUUUAUUUUUUCCAUUUUGUUUGUAUGCAGAUUUUCUUUUACUAAUUCUUUCUAUAAUAUAUAUAUAUAUAUAUAUAUAUAUAUAUAUCGUGAGAGAGAGAGAGAGAGAAAGAGAGAGAGAGUCUCUAUAUAUACAUAUGUCUGAAUGGUUGUUUAUACUUUAUAGUUAUUUGUUAUUUGACAUUAUAGUUUACUUGUGUGCUUGCUUGUGCAUGCAUGUGCAUUUUAUUUCCUAAUCUACUCCUCUUUUGUAGCCUUUUAUUCAGGAGAAGUUUUGCAGGUGAAUACCUGGCAAAGGACACUAAAUGUAACUGAUGUUAUGACUAUUUCAGUUGGAAAUCAGAUAGAUGGACUGGCAUCCUGACAGCAAAUAUUCCUGCAGCUGCAGCAGCUUCUGGGGCUAACUUGAAUGUGACAGAGGCAGUCAACCCUGAGGUGCUUUCUGCAGGAAUAACUAGUGAAAAUGUUAAGUGUAACUACACUAGGGAAAUAAGUGGUAUGAGGAAUUUCUGUGGCAGCAUUGGUGGGUUUGGACAAAAUAUGGCACCAUCAAAUUGUUUCAGUCUGGAUCUAGCUUUCCAAGGCUUGAAAUCUAGCUUUCCUAAUGAGCAAGUGCAGCCCAAGAAUGAUUCAUUCAAUAAGAUCCUUCUGACAAAGUAUGUGGGUCUCCUUCAACAAUUUGUUAGCAAUGCUGAGAAAGGUGGAGCAUUGAACAAAGCAUCAUUCACUGGAAGCUUGUUACAGAGCUGCUGCUUUGCUUCUCUCAAGACUUGAGACAGACAUGAACUUAACUCAGAAGGAUUUUUUCAGCUAUUGAGCCUUCUGUGUUGGUCUUAUAUUUUAACAACAGAUGCAAUGGAGACAGGAGUCUUUAUCUGGACAUGGCUGGUUUCAGCUGCACCUCAGUUGGGAUCUCUCCUUCUUGGUGAGAUUGUGGAUGCAUGGUUGUGGACAAUAGACACAGAAAAGGGGUUAUUUGCAUUUGGUAUGAACAAUGCUGGACCAGCUGCUAAAUUGAGGCCUCAGCUUGCAUUAGGGGAGCCUGAACCUCAUCCUGAUUGAGAUCCUGUUGAAGGAAUCACUGCUCAUAGAUUUUGGCUUGGUCUUCUUUUUUUGACAGAUUCGAAGUUAGCUAUGUCUCUGGUAAUUGAAAAUACAUUUUAGAGCCGCUACUGCAACUAUUUUUCCAUCUUGAAAUUGAUACUAAAAGGCUUCAAAGCAUUCUAUGAUUGCUGGUGGGCCACUUUGAACCAGGAUAAGUUAAAGUGCUGCUGUUGAUUCCAGCUCACCAACUUGAAUUUUUGAAACUGAUCUUUCAUGGAUCACUUUACAUUUAAAAGUUCUGUAUCUAAGGGAGAUUCUCCGUAAACUCUAUGCUAGUGGAUGGCCUUAUAGGAACCUAUCUUGGUGGACAAAUUUUGGUCUCCCCUUGUCUUCUAUAUGUUCACAUACACACCCCUUAAAAGGAACGUUAUAAUUUCCCAUGCAAAAAAAAGUAUUUAAGUAGGUAAAGUAAUAACAAUAUAAGUAAACUAACAAAAUAAAUAAAUAGAUAUAAAUACACAUUAUAACGAAUCUUAAACAUAAACAGUUUCCAUAUUUUUACCUUUUGUAUCUGCAUAUGCAUCCAUAGCCAUGCUGGGGAAUGACAAACAUAAUUCCCUUAUUCAGAUUUUAUUCAAACAUAUUGUUGGUGAAGAACAUAGUUAAAUAACCAUUUAAGAGCAUGGUUUUAUUAAGAAUUUAUGUUCAAAUAACAAAUUCUUUUUCCUUUCUUAUAGUGAAGACUUUGGCGGAGAGAAAGAGAAAGCAGCUGUUUUAAAAUUGGGCAUUGAAUUGGUCUAGCCUAUUGAAUCAUUCUUAUUUUUGUCAAAAGCUAGAAAAAGACACACACACACACAUAUAUAUAUGUGUUUCUUUUGUGUGUAUAUGCUUCUGCUUGCAUUUGUGCAUGUCACAACUGUAUACCUGCAGCAUGCUAUUGCCACGUUUGCAAAAUCUCUGGCCUCUAAAAUGCCUGAAGAUUUGAAGGUUUUGCCUUUUGAUCUAAAUAGUUUUUCACAUCGUUAGGGUUUGAUUAGUUUGCAUUUAAAAUUUUCCCUUUCUCUAUUCACGUUUGAAUUUGAAUUUACUCAUCAUGUUUGAAUUUGAGCUUUCUCUACUAUUUUUUGAUCUGAUCUUUUGAGUUUGAUAGUUAUGCAGAUGGUAGCAGGUAAUGUAACAGUGCAAAAAUUUAGCCCUAUAUUGAAGAUUUUGAGAGAUAUUCAAGAUCUUAUAAAGGGGGUUGUUAAGUUGUUGAUGGUCCUGAUUUCUACCCUGUUUUGGUCUGAAACUGCUAGGGAGUGAGUUGGGAUCCGUUAGACCAGGGGCCCAAGCCCGGGAGUGGGUCAGGUCGUUACAAAUAAAGAAUGCUAUGAAUUUGGUUGAUGGUUGGUAUGUUUCUCCCUAGAUUUUGGCACAAGUUGUUCAAUGUAAAUGAUACUUGUUUAUACAAGUAAAAAAUGACCUUAAAUUGUUGCUUUUCUUCAGCUUUUGGAACAUAUUCCAUAAUUUUGCUUGUUUUACUUGCAAAAUUGAUGUUGAUUCCUUGCCUAGUUACAUUGGUGUAAACUCAGGGAAUGAAUAUGUGCUCUUUAACUAUUGUAGUUCUGAAUAUCAUCUCAUUGUAUUUUAAUGGUGUUGCUUGUUGCUGGCCUUAUCCAGUUAUUAAAAAAAAAAAAAAGACUAACUUUGGCAUGUUUAGAGCUGUAUUGAUAGCAUUGAGAUAUAACUUUAGUUAUGUAUUUUCAUGAUCUUUUGUGUUAUUAGUUUAAAAUUUUUAUGGGUAGAGCUGGACGGAAUCAAUGGCUAUGCAAGUAUGGUGUGCUUAUUUAAGUUGUUUAUCUGCCUUCUUUUGUAAUUUUUGGUUCUCUUCUUUGUCUAAAGAUGUUUUUAUCUUGAUUGUAGUUUAUUUUUUUUAAAGAUUAUUCAUUUUCUUUGCCUAAUUUAUAUUAAUUUUUAAUAGGUGAAAUGGUUCACGAUGGAAAAUGUUCAAUGGAAAAAGUUCUGAAAUAUGACUCGUCACUUCAUGUUCUGUUUGUGGCAGCUGGUCAAUGACUCUCUCCAUGAUUCUACCCUUUGCCUUGUUUCCAUACUGUUCAAGUUUCUUCAGAUAAAUCCGUUCAAGAAGGUGGAAUGGUGCCUAAUCGUCUACUAAAACAUGCCCAUCAUGGAUAUUUUUGGUGGCUUCUAGUGCACAGUGGCGAUGGUGAUGAAUAUAGUAAAUGAAGUUUUUCAGCAGAUGAACAUACAAAGGUGCAGAAAACACUGAAUCAAUAGGACAGGUCUUUCAUCAAUCAAUUAAAAUUUUAUUUUGGAAGCUGGAUACUGGAUAUUUGUCUAUAAAUUUUUUGGGUUUUGUAAGCUUCUGAACAUUCUA
RNA transcript from Nymphaea colorata (pocket water lily), 7567 nucleotides. It is a transcript of the gene named phosphatidylinositol 4-kinase alpha 1-like, with no coding region annotated. The transcript has 2 exons. Lineage: Eukaryota; Viridiplantae; Streptophyta; Magnoliopsida; Nymphaeales; Nymphaeaceae. The record is from RefSeq and is a predicted model, not a curated record.